This 73-nucleotide transfer RNA is filed under the name Cricetulus griseus (Chinese hamster). It matches the Rfam family "tRNA". From Rfam's summary of the family: Transfer RNA (tRNA) molecules are approximately 80 nucleotides in length. Their secondary structure includes four short double-helical elements and three loops (D, anti-codon, and T loops). Further hydrogen bonds mediate the characteristic L-shaped molecular structure. tRNAs have two regions of fundamental functional importance: the anti-codon, which is responsible for specific mRNA codon recognition, and the 3' end, to which the tRNAs corresponding amino acid is attached (by aminoacyl-tRNA synthetases). tRNAs cope with the degeneracy of the genetic code in two manners: having more than one tRNA (with a specific anti-codon) for a particular amino acid; and 'wobble' base-pairing, i.e. permitting non-standard base-pairing at the 3rd anti-codon position. Lineage: Eukaryota; Metazoa; Chordata; Mammalia; Rodentia; Cricetidae. The record is from Rfam by way of RNAcentral.
GCCCGGCUAGCUCAGUCGGUAGAGCAUGAGACUCAUAAUCUCAGAGUCAUAGGUUGGAGCCCCACCUUGGGCG